UAAGGAAUAUUGGACAAUGGGGGCAACCCUGAUCCAGCCAUGCCGCGUGAGUGAUGAAGGCCUUCGGGUUGUAAAACUCUUUUAGAUGUGACGAUGAUGACGGUAGCAUCAGAAAAAGCUCCGGCUAACUUCGUGCCAGCAGCCGCGGUAAUACGAAGGGAGCGAGCGUUGUUCGGAAUCACUGGGCUUAAAGCGUACGUAGGCGGACAUGAAAGUCAGGAGUGAAAUCCCAGGGCUUAACCCUGGAAUUGCUUUUGAAACUCCAUGUCUUGAAUCCGGUAGAGGUUGGCGGAACUCCGAGUGUAGAGGUGAAAUUCGCAGAUAUUCGGAAGAACACCAGUGGCGAAAGCGGCCAACUGGACCGGUAUUGACGCUGAGGUACGAAAGCGUGGGUAGCAAACAGG
Molecule: ribosomal RNA, 404 nt
Filed under: uncultured bacterium
Lineage: Bacteria
Description: bacterial SSU rRNA
Rfam family: Bacterial small subunit ribosomal RNA
Source: RNAcentral